RNAcentral lists this ribosomal RNA (1437 nucleotides) under uncultured Pelagibacterales bacterium. RNAcentral describes it as "bacterial SSU rRNA". It matches the Rfam family "Bacterial small subunit ribosomal RNA". Lineage: Bacteria; Pseudomonadati; Pseudomonadota; Alphaproteobacteria; Candidatus Pelagibacterales. The record is from RNAcentral.
AGGGUUUGAUUAUGGCUCAGAACGUACGCUGGCGGCACGCCUAACACAUGCAAGUCGAACGAAGUAGCAAUACUUAGUGGCAGACGGGUGAGUAACAUGUAGGUAUCUGCCCUUUGGCCUGGAAUAACACGAGGAAACUUGUGCUAAUACCGGAUAAGUCUUUACGGAGAAAGCUUUAUGCACCAUUGGAUGAGCCUGCACUUGAUUAGUUUGUUGGUGGGGUAAUGGCCUACCAAGACUGUGAUCAAUAGCUGAUUUGAGAGGAUGAUCAGCCACAUUGGGACUGAGACACGGCCCAAACUCCUACGGGAGGCAGCAGUGGGGAAUCUUGCACAAUGGAGGAAACUCUGAUGCAGCGAUGCCGCGUGAGUGAAGAAGGCCCUUGGGUUGUAAAGCUCUUUCGUCGGGGAAGAAAAUGACUGUACCCGAAUAAGAAGGUCCGGCUAACUUCGUGCCAGCAGCCGCGGUAAUACGAAGGGACCUAGCGUAGUUCGGAAUUACUGGGCUUAAAGAGUUCGUAGGUGGUUGAAAAAGUUAGUGGUGAAAUCCCAGAGCUUAACUCUGGAACUGCCAUUAAAACUUUUCAGCUAGAGUAUGAUAGAGGAAAGCAGAAUUUCUAGUGUAGAGGUGAAAUUCGUAGAUAUUAGAAAGAAUACCAAUUGCGAAGGCAGCUUUCUGGAUCAUUACUGACACUGAGGAGCGAAAGCAUGGGUAGCGAAGAGGAUUAGAUACCCUCGUAGUCCAUGCCGUAAACGAUGUGUGUUAGACGUUGGAAAUUUAUUUUCAGUGUCGCAGGGAAACCGAUAAACACACCGCCUGGGAGAGUACGACCGCAAGGUUAAAACUCAAAUGAAUUGACGGGGACCCGCACAAGUAGUGGAGCAUGUGGUUUAAUUCGAAGAUACGCGCAGAACCUUACCAACACUUGACAUGUUCGUCGCGACUCUAAGAGAUUAGAGUUUUCGGUUCGGCCGGACGAAACACAGGUGCUGCAUGGCUGUCGUCAGCUCGUGUCGUGAGAUGUUGGGUUAAGUCCCGCAACGAGCGCAACCCUCACUUUUAGUUGCCAUCAUUAAGUUGGGCACUCUGAAAGAACUGCCAGUGAUAAGCUGGAGGAAGGUGGGGAUGACGUCAAGUCCUCAUGGCCCUUACGUGUUGGGCUACACACGUGCUACAAUGGUAUCUACAACAGGAAGCAAGACUGCGAAGUUAAGCAAAUCCCUAAAAGAUACCUCAGUUCGGAUUGCACUCUGCAACUCGAGUGCAUGAAGCUGGAAUUACUAGUAAUCGUGGAUCAGCGUGCCACGGUGAAUGCGUUCCCGGGUCUUGUACACACCGCCCGUCACACCAUGGGAGUUGGUUCUACCUUAAGGCAAGGUUUCAAACCCUUGACCACGGUAUAGUCAGCGACUGGGGUGAAGUCGUAACAAGGUAGCC